AAGAGGGACUCAGAUCACCUGGAAUUAUGGCAAUGUAUUGCAAGGAUACCUAUGAAAAUGGGGGAUCAUGAGAAGUUGAACUUUGCAUCCCAGUUCUGAAACAUGCAGCGACCUCAUGGAGACAGAUUCAUCACUCGGCAUUUCGGGGCGGUAGCAAGUUCAAGUGACCUGCCAGAUUUCUUAGCAUUAACUUGAAAGAUAACAUACUUGUUUGAUUUCAUUUGAUUUGAUUUGAUUUCUACUAGUCAAAUGGGCACCUUGAUUAGGCUGACUCUCCCCCAGGAACCCUGGGAGCCUCUGACAUCCCGUAUGUCCAAACAAGACACAGCCCCUCUGUGGCCUCAGCAUAUUUGCCCAGUCCAAUCAGCUAUAGCCAGAACAGAAAGGAAGGAAGACCCAAGAGAGGGAAGUAAAUUUGCCGAGGCAGCAGCAGCCUGCUACUUCCCUGCUAACCAGGGCAGAGGCUGGCCUGCCCCCCUACCUGGAUGGCCCCUGCUGUCAUGGCUUUUCUGCUUCUAGAAGCCAUCCCUGAGAACAUCAUUGCAGAACUCAAAACACAUUGCAUCAUACAAAAUGAAGUGGAGAAUUAAGGCAAUUAUCCAAUUAUUAAAAACCAUUUCUCAUUGGAAUCGCUAAAAAACUCUUCAAGUCUCCAUUUUACACGUGUUGCUCUGAUGUGAAUUUGACCCUGGCGUACCUGCUUUCCAGUAAAGUCCAAAAUCCAAAAUAGCCCAAUGGAGAGAGCCCCUCCCAGUAUCCACAGCCUCCGUAAAAAAGCUGCUUAUCAGAUCUCAC
Sapajus apella (tufted capuchin) is the source of this 795-nucleotide long non-coding RNA. RefSeq lists it as uncharacterized. Lineage: Eukaryota; Metazoa; Chordata; Mammalia; Primates; Cebidae. The record is from RefSeq and is a predicted model, not a curated record. The transcript is spliced from 3 exons.